GCUUAUUAAUGUAGAAUGACGAGUAAAGUAAACCUGGCCCCCAACAUUCAGCUCUAUGACUUCAGGGAAGGAGUUGGGAACAGCAGCCCCUUGGUCCCGAGGAUAAUAACGGCUACAGUUCCCACUCAGAGCCAUUGUCCCUUCCUUCUGCAGCUUCCUGGAAUUAAAGGUGCACUCCAAGGGAGUUACAGCCCUAGACUUUGCAUCCACUCGUAAGGACAGAGAAAGCAAUGAGUCUCUGCGCUUACCUUAGCGAGUCCUGGAGACUCAGUUCUUGAGAAGAAAUAACCUCUUCCAGAGCAAUCAGAAAUCACAUCCACACUGAGCCUGGACGUCUUGUCAAAUCCCAAACAGCAAAGCAGUGGGAUACCAUGAUUAAGGGAGUAAGCUUUGAGAUCAAGCAGUGGGGGCUCGGUCAUCU
Non-coding RNA from Arvicanthis niloticus (Nile rat), 421 nucleotides. Lineage: Eukaryota; Metazoa; Chordata; Mammalia; Rodentia; Muridae. The record is from RefSeq and is a predicted model, not a curated record.